GCAAUUUCUUCUUUACUGCCUGUCUGAAGACUGACUUCCUCCUGCUGCCAAAGAUCCUCUAAACUAACUACAAGCUCCUCCACAUUAUCAGGACAAACACAAUUCUAACUCUCAAAAGUUCUAGAGUCUGGACGUCUGAGAUCAGGGUGCCAGCACUGUCGAGGUCACAGACUGCAGACCUCCUUGUAUCUUCAAAUGGAGGAAAGAGGACAAGAGAGCUCCUGUGGUCACUUUUAUCAAGGCAUUUGCAAUGAUACAUCCUAGUGAUGGCAGCAACCGCCCGUCUGGAGCCGCGGUUGGGAAGACGUCGUCUGCAGCAAGGGAGGCGUGGCGGGGCUGUGCCUCUGUGAAGCUGGUGAGGCCGGGAACAGACAGGCCCCCCGCCCCUAUCAAGUCGCGGGGCAAGAGCCCCUCACUCCAGAUGCAACUGCAAGGGUGACUCCAGACCUAUACGCCCUAUGGCACUGUAGGCUCGGAA
This 478-nucleotide long non-coding RNA is filed under the name Pan troglodytes (chimpanzee). Its description in RNAcentral is "lincRNA". Lineage: Eukaryota; Metazoa; Chordata; Mammalia; Primates; Hominidae. The record is from RNAcentral.